UUCAUAAACGGACCAUAUUUGUUAUGUUCAUUUAGUUAGGAUAUUGAUAAUACUGUAACAGAGUAUAUUUCUGUUUUCAUUUGUAAGAUCAAGGGAGCAAAAUAUUUUGCAAUUAAAUUCACGGGUUGUUUUUCAAUUAAAAAUGAACCAGAUAAGUUAGUGGUAUUUGCUCAGCAGGAAGCUCUCUCAGAGAUAUAAAUGGUGAAGCGCGCAAGCUUUAGGCACACAUCUGAAAACAUGGCCAAGGAACAAGCAAUACAUUUUCUUCUCUUGCUGACUCUAGCAUUGGUCUUGGCUGUUCAAUGCGCUCCUGCUGGCAUGUAUCAAAACAUUAAUAUAUUAUCAUUUAAGUCAUCCUUAGAUUAGCAAGAAUGGAUCUUACUGGUUUUCAUUCUUUACAAUAUAAUGGCUUUUGCCAUUUCCAAUCAAUGUUCAAAAUUUCGUUAAUUUUGAUUUAUUUGUAAUUUCAGAAAGCUCUCAACCAGACACUGAAGAAAGGGAUAAGCGCGUCUUUCCUUGGCUUAUCGCUGGUGCAAGUUGGUUGGUAGGAAAGAUUACUGGAUAAAGCAGGAACUGUGAAAUGAAGAACAAAGCUGAGAUGACCCAACGUUUUGAACAAGUAGUGUAAUGAUGCAUUUUUGUGGAGCCGGCAAUUUAAUAAAUUGUUAUCAAUGAAUUCAUAGUAA
Long non-coding RNA from Cloeon dipterum, 686 nucleotides. RefSeq lists it as uncharacterized. The transcript is spliced from 2 exons. NCBI's taxonomy places the organism in Eukaryota, Metazoa, Arthropoda, Insecta, Ephemeroptera, Baetidae. The record is from RefSeq and is a predicted model, not a curated record.